CUGUAGUCGCAGCUACUUGGGCAGCUGAGGCAGGAGAAUUGCUUGAACCCAGGAGGCAGAGGUUGCAGUGAGCCAAGAUCAUGCCACUGACUCCAGCCUGGGUGACAGAGCUAAAAAAAAAAAAAAAGAUAAAACAUAGAUACAGAAAACCACAAAGGAAAAGCAUAGCAUAUUGAAUCAUCACAAGGCAGCCACCCCUUCAUAGCCACACCUGGCCCCUGGCCACCACUGACCUGUGCUCCAUCGCCAGAAUUCCAUUGUCUCAAGAAUGUUCGAUGAAUGGAAUCCUGUGUGGCCUGAGAUGAGUGUCUUUCAUGCCGCGUGACACCCUUGAGGCCCGUGCAAGCUGUUGCCCUCGGAAGGCUUGGUCACACUCUCCGAGAGCACAGCCAUCAUCUCCCACGGUACCACAGGCCUGGUCACAUGGGAUGCCACCUGCUACCUUGCAGAAUGGGCCAUCGAGAACCCGGCAGCCUUCACUAACAGGUGACCUCGGGGCACAGGGCAGGGCACCGAGGCAGGCUUACCCUGGUGCAGUCGAAGACACGGUCCCCUUUCCUCCCAUCAGGAAUGUCCUAGAGCUUGGCAGUGGCACCGGCCUCACAGGCCUGUCCAUCUGCAAGAUGUGCCACCCCUGGGCAUACAUCUUCAGCGACAGUCACAGCCGGGUCCUAGAGCAGCUCCGAGGGAAUGUCCUUCUCAAUGGCCUCUCAUUAGAGGCAGACAUCACUGCCAACUUAGCCCCAGGGUGACAGUGACCCAGCUGGACUGGGACGUAGCGACAGUCCAUCAGCUCUCUGCCUUCCAGCCAGAUGUUGUCAUUGCAGCAGGUACUGCCCAGCCCCGGGCAUCCUGUGCAGGCGGUGUCCUUGCAGCUCUACCCCGCUUUUGGCUCUGGGAAAAGGGAACAAUGGACGCUGUCGGGCAUGGACAUGAUGGGGCUUCCAGAAGAGUUACUCCGGGCCUCCAGGAUGACAUCAAAGGACAGGGGUGCCUCUUAAGGUGACCUUCAAGCCACAGCCCUCUUGUUGGAGACAGGCAUACUCCCGUUACAGUCGUCACCACUUGACUCUGUCCCAGAGCCAUGCCCUGUGUCCUUCAGAGACCACAGGAGGAAAACAACCACUUCUGGGACGAGGACAGGGCCCUUGAGAGAAGGUGGUGUUUGGCUGGGCCACCGAAAACCCCUCACCCCUGCCAGCACACUCAGUCCCCUCUCUGGUGGAACAGAGCUCUACCUGU
This 1242-nucleotide long non-coding RNA is filed under the name Pan troglodytes (chimpanzee). RNAcentral's name for it is "long non-coding RNA NONPTRT011985". The record is from RNAcentral. Lineage: Eukaryota; Metazoa; Chordata; Mammalia; Primates; Hominidae.